UCUCACUCGAAUUACAGAAUCGACCCGGACGUCAUUUCGGGAUUGCAUUUACGUGUUCUGCGCGUAUCUGCAUUAUUGUUAUUUUCUUUCUUUCUUUAUUUGGCUCUCUUCAGGGGUUGGCUUGUUUUCUUUUUACUGACGGACGUCCGCAUAUUUCUCUGGUUUUUCAACAGUGCAACCGCCGCACGUGGCAGCGUCUCCCCCAUAGAGGCAUGGCUUCGGACUCAAGUGGGAGAACUAAUCAUAGCCCGCGUAGCGUUUCCUCUUCCCUUCACUCUCCUAUCCUUGUCUACAAUCCGCAUGAGCCUGUAAAUUCUAUUCCAAGUACAAUGGAUUCCAAAGCACCGGAAAAUCUAUCCGAUUCUCAAUGCGAUAUUCUCAAUCUGUUUCAGAGUUCGCCCAUGGACAUCGAUGAAAUAAUUAACUCAAGGAAACGUCCCUCUUCUGACCGGGACGUAAGCCAAGAUUCGCCCCUCGUUACCCCACCUCCCCGAAAAAAUCUUCUGAGGUUAUUUCCUCAUCUUCAAAUACACAAGGAUCGCAACAACAACAACAACAGGGCAAAGGCAGUCGGACACAUUGCAAAAGUGUACAAGAGCCAGCCAAAAUGCCUUUAUUGUGGGAGCAAUAGACACAAAGCGGAAGUCGAGAGCUCUUGUUCUGAAGAGGGUGACAAGUGCAUUAACUGCAAAGAUUUAGAUGACUAUGGAGGAGAAUAUUAUAGAUCUUAUGCAGAUGUCAAUUCGAGUUCAAGAUCGUACUGCUUCUGGUAGCUUCAACAGCGGGCUCAACAAGAGCCGUUCUUCUCCUCACGAAGCAACCCCUUCCAGCGCUCCGCCUCCUCGCAGAAACUCCAGUCAGCAACAUUUUGACGCAGAGACUUACACGAGGUCCGCACACGGCAUGCCAUGACCCCAGAGAAAGCGAACGAAGAAGAAACGGAAAGAACGACUACAUCAGCGCCGCGACGGACGCAUGCAGCGCCGCCACUGGCGCUCGCAGCGCCGCAGCUAACGUUUGCAGCGCCGCGACCAACGGUCGCAACGCCACAAGGUGUCAGAUCAUUAUGCCCUCUAAUGUUACGUGUCUGAAUUGCCUCAAUUUUGUCACAGCUUUUCUAGGUAAAAGGACUGACUUGUUUUCUUUUUACUGAUGGACAUUCACGUAUUAUCGUACUGUUUUCUCGGUUUUUCAACAAUGCAAUCGCCGCACGUGGCGGCGUCCCCCCCCCCCCCCCCCGCAUAGAGGCAUGGCCUCGGAUUCAAGUGGAGGAAGUAAUCAUAGCUCGCGUAGCGUUUCCUUCUCCCUACACCCUUCUACCCUCGUAUAUAAUCCGCAUGAACCUGCAAAUUCUAUUGCAAGUAUAAUGAAUUCUAAAACACCGGAAAAUCUAUCCGACAUUAUGCUCAAAUCUCUCAUAAGUGAAGCAGGCAUGGCCGAGUCGUGCAAUUCGAAUUGCGAGGUUGCGUCAGCCUUUUAAGAGGAUAGCGCAACAAUGUCAUAGUUCGCCCAUGGACAUCGAUGAAAUAAUUAACUCAAGGAAACGUCCCUCCUCCCUGACCGAGACGUAAGCCAGAAUUCACCCCUUAUUUCCUCCUCGAAGAAAUCUUCUGAAGUUAUUUCCCCACCGUCAAAUUCACAGGGAUUGCAACCACAACAGGGCAAAGACGUGAGUUUAUCAGAUCCGCAUGCUCGUGAUAACCUCAAUUCUUCUAAUCCUAAGGCAUCAGCAAAAUAUAAUUCGCAGGAUAAUGACCCCUAUGCAAUUUACUAUCUAUGACAUGAAUCAUGAAAAAUCAACAUACCCCGAUAAUUUCCAGCAUCAUAAUGAAAGCAGAAUUCCGAGUUUUAAGAGUGGGAUUCAUAAAAGAUGUUCCAACUCAAAUUGACUUGGCUGUUCUUAAACGCAUUGAAGUUCCUCAUAAUAGUAAAAUUCUGGACAUCCAUAGGCUCAACAGAAAGACAACCAAAGACGGCAAAACUGAAUAUAUACCCUUAAAGACACUGCGUAUAAAAUUUGCAGACUGAAUUUUGUCGCAUGAAGUAUUUUUGUUAAAGACUAGGCAUGAAGUAUGUCCUUUUAUCCCGAAGCCUCGCAUCUGCUUUGCCUGCUACAGAGUCGGACACAUUGCAAAAGUGUGCAAGAGCCAGCCAAGAUGCCUUUAUUGUGGGGACAAUAGACACGAAACGGGAGCCGA
Molecule: unclassified non-coding RNA, 2198 nt
Organism: Acromyrmex echinatior (Panamanian leafcutter ant)
Lineage: Eukaryota; Metazoa; Arthropoda; Insecta; Hymenoptera; Formicidae
Source: RefSeq, a predicted model, not a curated record